UCAAUGUGGUCAUUUGGGAGAUUUUAUUUUUUUUUUAAAUAGUAUUUUCAUUUUGCCUCUUUACUUCCUGCCUAAUGAAGAUAGCUUGGCUUUAGAAACUUUAGUAAGUGCAUUCUGUACAGGUAUGUGGGAAUACAAAGAAUUUGAAGGCAUAAGAAAAGCUACACUAGUGAAAUGCCUAAUAUAGAUAAACUCAGGAAGCGCUGUUUUGCAUUUUGCCUGCUUAUUUAUUGUUCACAGAGACAAGUAAAGGUCAUCUUUUGCUAAUGGCAUUAUAGCCUUGGCCUUCUUGUAUCAAAGUAUUAAAUAUUGUAAAGAAAUGUUUCUGUGAGAGGGGGAUUUUAAUUAUAAUAAAUAUUUAUGUUUUCAUUUUAGCACAAGUCAAUUUUCUUUCAAUACUGAAGUUCACAGUAAUUUAUUCAUGACCUUUAACUGAUUUUAAGAAAUGUAGAUUGGGAAUUAUUGCUCUCCUCACCAUUGGAAGUGCCAAGUCAGGAAUGCCUUGAGAAGCUUCAAGGGAUUUUAUUAAUGAGAUCUACUUCUCCUGUUAGAAUAAAACAGCUAAAGCUGCUGGUUUUGCUCAUCUUAGUGUAUAUGUGGAGGAUCAAUGUUUAAAAUCAUAUGGAAGUUUUUGAUCUAAGAUAAACAAGUGAUCAGACCACAUAACACUAUGCAGUUUCUCAUGAAUAAUCUGAAUUUGUUGAGGAUUAAUUUUCAUCCUUGUGUUUCUGACUUCCCUCUCCCUAAAAGUUGAAAUAGUAAAAAAAAAAAAAAAACAAAAAACCAACCCCAAAACAAAAACAAACAAACAAAAAUAAACAAACAAAGCAAAACCCCCAAAAUAGCUGAGUUCAAAGACUGAGUAAGAAAAGAAAAAAAUUCUGUAUAUGUAUGAAUGUAAUGGUAGGAGUAUAUAGCAUAUCUACCCAUGUAUAUGUAAGGUAUGUUCAGAAACAGAGAUGUAAAAUGUAUUUCUUCACAAAAUACCUUAAUCCCAAUGAACCAAUGCUGUAGACACAAACUUCAAAGAAAGAUUUAGAAAGUAGACACCUGGGAACUGUUAACAUUUCUAUAUAGCUUUCUUUUCACUAAGCAAGGCCUGACAGUCUGGCACACUGACAAGCAUGGAAAGCUCAGGAACCCUGUCUCCUUUUUUUACUUCUCAUAGCAUGAUGUAAUCUGGGUAACUCCUCCAUCCUAUGAUAGGAGUAGAUUUCCUUGGUUCCAGCAGGGCAUUCUGUCAUGGAUCUGUACUGAUAAACCACUUUCAUGACCUGUACCUCAUAUGGAGUAUUUGAAUUGUGAACUUAACAUUUUGUUUGGAGAUGAAAAUAAGUAUUUUAGUUAUGAUCAAAUGCAAGUUCAGCUCUCUAGUGUUUAACACAUUCUAGAACUGUCAAUCAUUUUUAUUAUACUUAAUUUGAUAAUUAAUUUGACA
This 1438-nucleotide long non-coding RNA is filed under the name Strigops habroptila (Kakapo). RNAcentral describes it as "lncRNA (ENSSHBG00005002085.1)". Lineage: Eukaryota; Metazoa; Chordata; Aves; Psittaciformes; Psittacidae. The record is from RNAcentral.